Molecule: RNA transcript, 817 nt
Organism: Gallus gallus (chicken)
Lineage: Eukaryota; Metazoa; Chordata; Aves; Galliformes; Phasianidae
Gene: ATP5G3
Gene name: ATP synthase, H+ transporting, mitochondrial Fo complex subunit C3 (subunit 9)
Exons: 5
Source: RefSeq, marked validated
GGCGUGGCGAGGCUCGCGCCCCCCGCCGCUGCCAAUGGCGUCGGCAUAAAGUGACCUUGGCGCCGCUCCCUCCUCUUCCGUCGCGCCGCAUCCGGGCGCCCGCCGCCGGUCCCGCCGCGCCUGCGCACAGCCGCGCUCAGCCCGUCAGCCCUGAGGAGCGGCAGCCGCAGAGGAGACGCCGGAUCGUGGCCCCGGGGACGCCGCCCGCCCGCUAAGAUGUUCGCCUGCGCCAAGCUCGCCGCUUCGCCCGCCCUGAUCCGCGCUGGAUCGAGAAUCUUGUACAGACCAAUUUCAGCAUCUGUGUUUUCUAGGCCAGAGGUCAGGACUGGAGAGGUACCUUAUAAACAAAAUUCUGUAUCUUCCUAAAUUACCUGGGCAAAUCCACACUUAAUGGGGCCCAAAACGCUGUCUCCCAACUAGCACUUAGAGAAUUCCAGACUAGUGCUGUCAGCAGGGACAUUGACACUGCUGCCAAAUUCAUUGGUGCUGGUGCUGCCACAGUAGGUGUGGCUGGAUCUGGUGCUGGUAUUGGAACGGUCUUCGGUAGUCUAAUCAUUGGCUAUGCCAGAAAUCCUUCUCUGAAGCAGCAGCUGUUCUCAUAUGCUAUCCUGGGAUUCGCCCUGUCUGAAGCUAUGGGUCUCUUCUGUCUGAUGGUUGCUUUCUUGAUCCUAUUUGCCAUGUGAAAGGAGAUCUGCCUGUACUAUUGGCAUUGGAAUGUAAUCCUGCAUAUUUUAUGGGACUCCCAAAAUGUUGGUGUCGUGGAAAUUGAUGCUAUUUCCAAAGUCAUUUCAUUAAAGAUAACGACUUUAACUGUCAA